CCUACGGGAGGCAGCAGUGAGGAAUAUUGGUCAAUGGGCGGGAGCCUGAACCAGCCAAGCCGCGUGAGGGAAGAAGGUACAGCGUAUCGUAAAACUCUUUUGUCAGGGAAAAAAGGAGGGGACUAGUCCCAGGAUGAGGGUACCUGAAGAAAAAGCAUCGGCUAACUCCGUGCCAGCAGCAGCGGUAAUACGGAGGAUGCGAGCGUUAUCCGGAUUUAUUGGGGUAAAGGGGUGAGCAGGCGGCCUGUUAAGUCAGCGGUAAAAGCCCGGGGUUCAACCCCGGCGAGCCGUUGAAACGGGCGAGCUGGAGUUGGAGAGAAGUACGCGGAAUGCGCGGUGUAGCGGUGAAAUGCUUAGAGAUCGCGCAGAACCCCGAUUGCGAAGGCAGCGUACCGGCUCCACACUGACGCUGAGGCACGAAAGCGUGGGUAUCGAACAGGAUUAGAUACCCCAGUAGUC
This 459-nucleotide ribosomal RNA is filed under the name uncultured bacterium. RNAcentral describes it as "partial 16S ribosomal RNA". It matches the Rfam family "Bacterial small subunit ribosomal RNA", at positions 338 to 795 of the family's 1533-position model. The record is from RNAcentral.